UUGCUUUGGAAACACAUAUACUAAUAUUGAAGGAUUAGCAUGGCCCCUGUACAAGAAUGACAUGCAGAUUCAUGAAGUGCUCCAUAUUUUU
Cavia porcellus (domestic guinea pig) is the source of this 91-nucleotide small nuclear RNA. NCBI's taxonomy places the organism in Eukaryota, Metazoa, Chordata, Mammalia, Rodentia, Caviidae. The record is from Ensembl.